AAUAAUAAUCAAUUUACCAUACCUUAAAUAUGAGUAAUUAUUCGUUAAAAUGACGACAGUGGAUUAAGGAAUAAUAUAUAAUGUAACAAUACAGCUAUUUAAAGUCACGAUGAAAAAAUGAAAUCUAUUUUAGUCCUCCGAAUCAUAUUCGCGUUUUUGUUUAUCGUUGAAUUGGCAGUCGGUCUCAAUACUUGUCAAAUGUACUUGGCAUUCCAAGCGCCUGUACUCGUCGCACCUUGCAUUUUGAUUUGAGGGGAAAAUAGGGUCUGUAACGAGUACCGGUCGUCAAUGGGCGGACUACGCCGUUCGCAUAGCAAUUCACGUUUUCGAAACGGAACUUUCUACCGCGUUUCGCGACGAAAGUCGCGUUCGCGUUCUCCGGACAGAGCCGCGAAAAGUUUCGCUAGAUUCGCGGGCGAAAAGAGGAAGAGGUCAACGAAAGUGAUCUCUUUCUCUCUCUCUUUCUCUCUUUCAACUUCCGUGGCGAUCGCUUAUUCCUAUUCCCGUCGCGUUUGUGUCCGACGAAAGCGAUACCGUAAACACAUUCCCCGCUUCACGGCGAGCGGUCGGAAUCUGCUUAUUCACGAAGUUAACAGUCACGACGACGGAGCGGAUGACCUUACCGCUUUUCACUAAAAAAACCCGUGAUGUAACCCACCCGCGGCGCAUAGAAAGUGCCGAAAAGUGUCUCGGGCGACAACGCGACGUAUGCGACGCGACGCAGUUUUACGCCGUCUCCCCUUUGUAGUCUUUAUGGCUUUGGUCUCCCGCGGAACAUUUACUGCGUCGCGCCGCAUCGCAUCGAUCACACGCAGGGAGAGAAAGAGAAGGAUCGUCCAGCUUCGAGGGAGGACUCGAAUCGCGCAAAAAACGCGAGUACCGUGCGUGCGGAGUGUAAAAGGAUCGCGCGCGCGCCCGCUCGCGCACACAUACGCAUUUGCCGGCGUUUACGAGCACCGCAAUGCCGUAAUAAUAACAACGAGCCGCGUCCGUGCGCUCCAUCGCCUACUAAUCCAAAUCUCGAGACCCGCGUCACCCGCGGAUGAGCGGUUCCACCUGCGUUGAUGUACGCGCGCGGUGGAUUAGUCACGCGCGGCCUCCGAGAGUGCGCGAGUCGAAAUAGAACGCUUAGUCAGACGUCACCAGGAAACUGCACUCCUGGGGAGGGGGAGUCACGCCGCGGUCGCAGCCGCAGCCUUACUUUGUUACGCUUUACACGCCUGUGUUCGGCAUCUCUGCUAUCCGCGCGGAUCUGCGCCGUGAGAUCGCCCGAGAUUGUAUCGGGCAGGUUUGAAAUGCUUCAAGCCUGAGGGAACGCCUCUCUAAAUGUCGUGGAAUGGAAAACCGUUCGAAAAUCGCACGAGUUGAAUUUUUCACUCGGAAGAGUUUCACUCUACGGGACGCAAAGGGAGAAUGUAAAUGUCUUUCGAUAAUAACAAUGAUCUGCGCAGGCGUGUUUAUGAGAUAGAAUUGUGAGGAAAAAAAAUUUAAUUUUAUAGAAUAUUUCCUGUUAAUUUAUUAUCGUGAUAAGGGAAAUGACGUAAUUCUUUUGCAAAAUUAUUGUAUUCUAGUUUUUAUAUCAAAUUCUUUGGAUACACAGGGGUAAAAGGAAGUUAAAGAAAUUACACUUAUAAAUUUUAAAUUGGGGAUGUUGCAGAAAACCAUUCUUAUAUAAACUAAACACUUGAUACGUUUUUUAAAAAUUUACACGGUAUAUUUAUUAAGUCUUUCAUUAAACCUAAAAUUUUGUUUUGUAGGAAUAAUUGUUAUUUGUUUUUGUAUAUUUCUGUGUGCAUAUUUAUUUGUCGAGUCACUGUUAUUUAAAAAAAAAAUUUUACAACAGUUCUUUUAAUAGAAAAUGAUUGCCUUUCCGCGCGUGAGGUACGAUUAAAAAUUUGCAAAGAUAUAGUACAGACCUCAUGUUAACGACGUGGUAGCGGCUGCCGCAUGCCACGACGGCUGGCGUGUGUAGGAGCUAGUUUCAGAUCCCAGAUCUUAAAAGGGAAGCGCACCUGGAUCGCUCGAGAUGUUUAUUUGUACCAGCUUCGAUCGCCCAGCGCCGAUCUCGGCGCUCGAUGCACGCUUUAAGCUUCGACCGACUUUGCCUAUAGAGACCUCCAAUGCAAAUCGCAUCUUGGAAUCCAGCGCCCGAAGACUUAAAGUAUCAAUUAGACGGCGUACAAAGCUAUGCCCGAUGCCUAGAGGUACUUAAUCAUACCAAACAAUAAAUCGAUGAUGUGACUGUAUGAAUAAAUCAAAGGGAAUUAAGUAAGAAUACCUGUAUAAACCAAAUGAAGAUUAAUGACACGCAAGUCAAUGUAUUACAUCAUUUUUUUCAGCAAACGCGCUGAAAUAUAAUUGCUUAAGCAUAAUUUACACGGAGCGGCUUUUAUUCAUUUCUUAACAAGCGUCUUAAUUUGUUAGCAAAUUUACUGAUAAAACGCUGAUUUUUUAUUCGCUACAGCGUCUACAAUUUUAAGGUCGCGGCGUCUAUUAAUCGCUGAACAUCUUCAAUUUUAUCGCUCUUGUCAAACGAAUGGUACCAUUGUAAAAAAUCGCUCCGCCACAACCAAACGAUUUUUGACUUUAUUGUUAAUGUCUUUUAUCGCCAGUUUUUGAUUGACAAAAUUCGCUCUGUGCUAAACUAUUUACACGUUGUUGAUAAGCAAAUGAAGUCGCUAACAUUUGUCAUGGCGUCACAGAAUAAUAUAACUCGAGCCGCUAUUGUCGAGCGAAAAAAUUUUAAUUUUAUACUAACUAGUCGUGAAUUAGUCAUUUUUUUAUUUUGUAAUUCUAAUCUUAAUGUUUCGUUCAUUGAAAAAAUGUGCUCAUCAAAGGAUUAAUAUAAAAAGACAAGAGCCUUAAAAAAUGUUUUCUUUCACAAAAAAUAUUUCCAGGAAUAUGCGUAUUAUUGCAUAGAAAAAUAAAAAUUAUUAUUACAUUAAAGAUUAAACUUAUCUAAAAAAGCGACGAGCUGGCGAUAAAAGACACCAGCGACAAGCGUUAAAAGUUGCUCUGUGUAAAUAACGCUUUAAGAUGCAAUAUAAAUAUAUAUAUAAUAAUACACCUUGACAAACUAUAUUUUGCUUAGAGAUAUUAAAGUAAAACAUUAAAGUAAGAAAGAGGUAAAAGUGCGGAAACUAAUGUAAACCAAGUUUCUUCUUGGCAAUGUAAAAAAUGCUGAAAUAAUAAAUUUCUAUUUUACAAUAACAUCUUGGUUUUUCUUCCACAAUAUUCCACCCGUACAAAUCAAUUCGUUCCAAUGAUCUGUUUGCAACUAGAAAAAGACAGUUAAGUUAAAUAGUUUAUAAAUAAGUUAAGCUACAUCGGCGCAACCGAAGAGAGAGAGAUAUUAAUUCCCUCAACCGCUAUUAUUGUUAAAUAAUAAUGGUAAUAGAAACAGACUGUGUUCAGCCAGCUUCAGCCAGUUGUUAUUCACCGAGCGUUUCUGUCCACAACGCUUGAAUACCAUCUCUUGAUUCAAUAUUCGAAUCAGACGUAAUCGACGAGUCCUUGAACAGCGCGUGGGUCGAUAGAUUAUAUUGACGAAGGGGAAGCGCGAGACGGCGCGUAUAAUACCUUCUCGUCGCGAACACACGUACCGUACAUACAUUCGCCUCGCUCGCACGUGCAAAAGCGCGCCUUUACGAGCCACUGUCGUCGCUCGCCCAGCACGCGGUGCAAUCGCGCUGAUACACCGCCUUCGAGAACUAGAUGCGAGACGAGCGAGCGCCGUGAAUUCACGCGUCCCGUAAGCCAGGCGCAUUGUUGCGACGACGAUUGCACGUGGCGUCCGUUCGCGUGUGACGCCGCCGGGGCCCUUGUUCGCUUUCUCUCUAUUCUUGCCUCUUUUCAUUUCUAUCUACGUAUGAUUUAUGCGACAUCGCGUCGUGUCGUUUCGCGUACUUAAAAAAAGGCAUAUCCCCCUCCAUGUGCGCGCGUGUAAGGGCAACGGACGAUCCCGCGAGACGCGCGAGUAAAGUGCAGGAAAAUGUCCAACUCAAAGUCGGUAUCAAGCCAAAUUGAUUUAAUCAUUGCUUAACCAGAUUGCAACCGGUUAAUCGAUAAUUAACGGGAGAAAGUGCAGCCAAGAAAUUCGUUUGCGUGGGCAAUCGAAGUGAGCAGAAAAUGCCAGUUACGUGAGCGCCCGUCGGCCGGCCGGCGGUUUCAUCAACGUCGGUUUAACUUUAAUUUUUACAGUUACGGCCAACACACCGGUGCAGGUAUUAAGGAAUGAGAGAAGGACGCCGGGCGGCCCUCGAUCGGGACUCCACGACACCCACCGAAUUUAUGUCUGUGAACUCCGAUGAACUCCUGAACCCUCGUCGUUUCGACUCCUCGGAGCGACAAUGACGAAAGAAUGGCAUCCCCGGCCGUUCGCGCUCCGACGUGUCGCGCACACGUGUGUGUACGUAUGUAAUACACGUGUGGAACGAUCGCUAACGAUUACGGGGUUACGGGACUUUAGGACAUCGGAUAUCGGUGUCGCUUAAUUCUUUUCAGUUUCGAAUUUCGGAGCCUGCGGACACGAGCGUUGGGUAUUGCGCGAUAUGAAAUAUCUACGUGUCAAGCGAACACACACGAAUUCUGAAAUAUCUAAUAAUAGCUCACGUCGAAAAAUCCUACAAGAUGUGAGAUACACAAAUGUGUAUUCUUCUUUAUACUUCCUAUUAAGCUCAGUCUUGUAUUAGUCACUUUGGGUUUAUAGCGUUAUUCGAAUCCUCGGAUGUCGAAAUCUUUCGGUGUUACAAGCAUCUUGAGGUAGAAGAAAAAAAAAAAAA
Long non-coding RNA from Monomorium pharaonis (pharaoh ant), 4781 nucleotides. RefSeq lists it as uncharacterized. The record is from RefSeq and is a predicted model, not a curated record. The transcript has 2 exons. Lineage: Eukaryota; Metazoa; Arthropoda; Insecta; Hymenoptera; Formicidae.